AUAUCAUCAGCAUGCCUGCCUCCAGUGAUCCUGUGUGUCCUUUGGAAUCCGAGGCACUCUGUGAACCUUGAUGCAUGAAUGUAGUGAUAGUAACUACUGGUUCAGAGUCUUUUCAUCCUGAUUGCUGGGCUCUUACCAGGUUUCACACGUCUGGGGGCUCCCCGCUGGUUAGCAAGGCAGCCACUAAGAACUCUCUGAAUAGUCAUUUUCCUUUCGGAAACUGCUUAAAGAUGACUCGGGAGGACUUUUAAAUGGAGAAAUGUUCGUAUGCUGAGAUCCUGGCUGGUGACAGAAGGAUGGAAGAAGUGAUGCCUGAAGGUAUAUUCUAAAUGGUUGUUGUGUCCCUGUAGUCAAAAGGUGUGUGGGCAUGGUUUCUUAUUUUAAACAGUUUUCUUAAAUCAAUAAACAUUGGGUUAUGAAUCUCAGAUAUAGGAUCUUUUUCAACUUUUAAUCUGGACGACUUUGAAUUAAAGAAAAAAAAGAACAACUGUUCCAUUAUAAUUCAUGUAAAAUCAAGUCCAGGGCCAUGAGGGGCCGAGAUAAAGGGAACAACUAGAAGUAAGUGGAGGAUAUAAUUUCUCAGAAAAUUCUUAUAUUUUCUGUGCCUGGAAAUGGUUUCAAUACACAUCAUAAAAAUGAUAUAAAACUCAAUCAACAGAAGAACUUUUUGUUUCUUUAUUUUCAAUAUUUGUCUUAUUAAUAUUUUUCUUAUUUUAUAAUGCAAUUACAACAAUUUAGGAGACAA
Molecule: long non-coding RNA, 745 nt
Filed under: Homo sapiens (human)
Lineage: Eukaryota; Metazoa; Chordata; Mammalia; Primates; Hominidae
Description: non-protein coding lnc-SLC19A3-4:2
Source: RNAcentral